Non-coding RNA from Stegodyphus mimosarum, 74 nucleotides. Lineage: Eukaryota; Metazoa; Arthropoda; Arachnida; Araneae; Eresidae. The record is from Rfam.
GCCUUCGUGGUGUAAUAGUCAGCACGCUCGGCGCGUAAUUCGAGAGAUCCGAGGUUCGAGCCCCGGCGAGGGCA